Phragmites australis (common reed) is the source of this 1066-nucleotide long non-coding RNA. RefSeq lists it as uncharacterized. The transcript is spliced from 3 exons. The record is from RefSeq and is a predicted model, not a curated record. NCBI's taxonomy places the organism in Eukaryota, Viridiplantae, Streptophyta, Magnoliopsida, Poales, Poaceae.
UUAGUCUCCCCUGCUCCCCCUCCUCUCCCUGACUCUCUUGACCGCAAGUGAAAGCUCAGAGCAAAGCACCUCCAUUGAAGCUUGGCCCGAGCUCGAAUCCGCGCAGCCAAGCUCAGACCCGCCCCAAUUAAGCCUCAAAUCGUGCCUAGGAAGGCCGUGCGAAGCUUUCCCCUCGGUCUCCCGUACGAAUCCUCAACUUCCCCAACCAAAUCGAAUUUUUGCGUGCCAUUCUUUGCCAAUUCCGAUGACCCGAUCCGGUCGCACGUCAAUCCACCGCUGCAGAGCUCCUUCCGGCCAAACAAGCACACGAUAUGGCGGACCCUACGACCCCCGAGCUUCUAGACCCUGCAGUGAACAAGAAGCAUCGCAGCUUCUUAUCCGUCGAGCACCAGACAGAGUUAGGAGUGUUUCGACCAUGAGGCCCUGGAGAGCUGCUCACGAUAGACGAGCGAUGGAAGCAUAGGUUGGCAGCGGUGGGACUCCUACCACUUUGCCGGUUGGUCGAGGCUCGAUCGACGGAGAACCCCGAGGCAGCGGCGCGUCGUUUCUACUUUGACCGGUCACUGAUAGCAGCCCUGGUCAACCGAUGGAGGCCGGAGACACAUACGUUCCAUUUCCCGUGCGGUGAGAUGACCCCGACCUUGCCGGACGCCGCAUACGACCUUGUUCGUGACUUCUUUGGGGGCACAACUGACUACGACGUCCUCUAGCGGUCCCAGGUACCCAGUGCUCCACUUCGGACACAGCCCACGCAGGACGAGGCCUCGACACCGGUGCUCCCUACUAGACCUACCAGACACGUCGGUCCACCCGACCCCCUCACCUACUCCAGGGGUCACGUGAGGGUUAACCAGUGGUAUCGGGACCACGAUGGGGCGCACGGGCGACGGCAACGAGGGAGGUAGCAAUAGAAUUUUAGAUUUUAUGUAACUUAAAUAUGCAUAUUCGCUUCGCGAUGUACUCCUACGUAUUCAUACACGUUUACUCUUAUGGUCCACUUAGCAUGUCGUAACUGCAUUUCGUAUUCCAAAACGAUGGCAUCCUAGUUGCAUUUCUUAAUCUGACA